CCUGAAAUAAAAAUAAGGUUUAGGGCCUUAGACUAAGUUAUCCGGACAACCUAACUUAUAAUAUUGGGCCAAGCCCAAUAACCCUAAGGCUAAAAUAAACAGCGUUUUUUACUGCUACUGACCUAGACCUACUGUACAAUUUACAAUCAAAAGUUGAAAAUCAAAACCCUAAAGACUAGAGAGUAGAGACUUCUCUCCAAAAAAAAACCCUAGACAGUAAAUUAAAACUCUAAAGAGUAGAGAGUAGAGACCCAUUGAAGAUUUGAAGUUCAAUCAAAACUGGAAUUCGAACUUCUAAAUUCUUCUAAAUCUUCAACAAUUUACAAUCUAUGUGGGAAAGUCAUGGCUCUCAAAGUUGAUGAUACUCCAACUCCAAGUCCACCUGAAAGUGCUGCUCAAAGUCCACAUGAGGCUGCCAUGGGAAAUAGUCAAACCUGAAGAUUUCUAUUUUGAAUGAAUUGAACUAUUUUAUUUUACUUUUUGCAAGAAAUAGUUAAAUCUUGAAUUUAUGUUUUGUAAUCUGAAGUUGGUGGAUAAUUUAUGGUUUUGAAUGGCUCUGUUUGGGGAAUCA
Beta vulgaris subsp. vulgaris (sugar beet) is the source of this 571-nucleotide long non-coding RNA. RefSeq lists it as uncharacterized. Lineage: Eukaryota; Viridiplantae; Streptophyta; Magnoliopsida; Caryophyllales; Amaranthaceae. The transcript has 2 exons. The record is from RefSeq and is a predicted model, not a curated record.